UAUUUCUCACCUUAAAUGUUUUUUUAGAAAUAUAUUGUAGUGUGUAAAACGGAUGUGGGGACAUGGAGGAACUCACGUGCUACCAAAACAAAGAUCAGAGAAGCUUGGAUAACAACACACUGAAAGGUUGACCAAUCUGAGCUGAGCAGCCUGCCUGAGGACACGUGCAGGGAGCGAGCGACAAGCUGGGUGCUGGAGAAGUGGUUUUGCAGAGGAGACGCUCAGGGUUUGACCUCAAGCUCUUCCUGAAGGUGUUGGAGGGUCUAGAGCUGUGGGAACUCUGUCUGCCUGAGCUGUGUUUGGCCAUUCAGAUUACGACGGAUCAUCCAGAUGCUCAGGGAGAUGUGUGAUACCUGGCUGUGUUCGAGGAUAACUCUGCCACCAAAGCACCACCAUGCCCCUCAUACACCAGGUGAACCAACCUCAUGAAGGCCUGAAGGAAAGCUGUAGUCUGGAACAAAUAGAUAAAAAGA
Molecule: long non-coding RNA, 473 nt
Organism: Scomber japonicus (chub mackerel)
Lineage: Eukaryota; Metazoa; Chordata; Actinopteri; Scombriformes; Scombridae
Exons: 3
Source: RefSeq, a predicted model, not a curated record